UGUGGGUCUUGGGGUCCCUGUGGGUCCCCGUGGGGCGGUUUUGGGGUCCCUGUGGGUCCCCGUGGGGCGGUUUUGGGGUCCCUGUGGGUCCCCGUGGGGCGGUUUUGAGGUCCCUGUGGGUCCCCAUGGGGUGGUUUGGGGUCCCUGUGGGGUAGUCUUGGGGUCUCAGUAGGGUGGUUUGGGGUCCGUGUGGGUCUCAGUGGGGCGGUUUGGGGUCCCCGUGGGUCUGAGUGGGGCGGUGUGGGGUCCCCGUGGGGCGGUUUGGGGUCGGUGUGGGUCUGAGUGUGGCGGCUCCUGCAGGUGGGGCCGCGGGCUGGGGCUACUGGAGGCGCUGGUGGGCCGGGACAGCGCCGUCAACGUCCCCAACAGCGUCAUCGGGAUCGGCUUCUACGGCAUGCAGGCGCUGCUGGGGGCGUGGCCGGGCAGGGGUAGGCGUGGCCAGCGCGUGAUUUUGGCGCGCUGGGCGGGGUUUUGGCGCGCCGGGCUGUUUUUUUGGCGCGCCGGGCGGGGUUUUUUGGCGCGGUGGGCGUGGCUUUUUGCUUUUUUUGGCGCGCUGGGCGUGGCUUUUUGUUUUUUGGGGGUGGGGGUGGGGCGGUGGGCGUGGCUUUUUGUGUUUUGGCGCGCCGUGGGAGGGGGGGGCGAUGGCGGCGCGCGCGGCGCUGUGCGCGGUGGGGUUGGCGCUGGCGGGGUACGCGCUGCACGUGGAGCGCGCGCACGAGAGGGACCCCACGUACCGGGCCAGCUGCGACCUCGGGCCCAGCGUCUCGUGCACGCGCGUGUUCGCCUCCAGGUGCGCGGGU
RNAcentral lists this long non-coding RNA (800 nucleotides) under Numida meleagris (helmeted guineafowl). RNAcentral's name for it is "lncRNA (ENSNMEG00000002278.1)". Lineage: Eukaryota; Metazoa; Chordata; Aves; Galliformes; Numididae. The record is from RNAcentral.